UUUGCAUAGUGCUCUGAAAGUCACAGUGAAGAAAUUCAGUGAAGUGCAGGUAAACAGCAGAGUAACUGUGACUCUUUUAAGGUAAUCAAAUGCCUAUGAUCUAAUUAGUGGUGUAUAUGAAUGG
This 124-nucleotide non-coding RNA is filed under the name Ictidomys tridecemlineatus (thirteen-lined ground squirrel). RNAcentral describes it as "Spermophilus tridecemlineatus (thirteen-lined ground squirrel) Eukaryotic large subunit ribosomal RNA". It matches the Rfam family "Eukaryotic large subunit ribosomal RNA", at positions 2197 to 2322 of the family's 3401-position model. Lineage: Eukaryota; Metazoa; Chordata; Mammalia; Rodentia; Sciuridae. The record is from Rfam by way of RNAcentral.